Molecule: transfer RNA, 30 nt
Filed under: Nomonyx dominicus (Masked duck)
Lineage: Eukaryota; Metazoa; Chordata; Aves; Anseriformes; Anatidae
Description: Nomonyx dominica partial tRNA-Trp
Source: RNAcentral
AAACUUAGGAUAACACCCUCCAAACCGAAG